GGAUUGAGAAACACUGUAUCCCAUCAACAUAAAUCUGGCAGUGCAGAAAUUCUGUAACACAAUUGGCAUGGUUACAGGACCGUAAAGUGUGUAAUAUUUCCCAUUGUUUAACGGCUGUCUGGAGAGGAUAUUGUGCCUUGCCCAAAACAAAAUCUUGUGUCUUGUCGGUAUGGAGCUGGACUAUUGUUACAGAUGUUGCAGGAGCAGCUCUGAAAGUCAUCUGUUUCAAGAAGCACCUCCAGACUGCAUAUGUCACAUUUGGGUCAAGUUACAAUCAUGAUUCCUCUCCAUAAAAUGAUGGUGGUCCGGACUCACUUGAUCAAAAGAGACGCAACAAUAUGUUGAAACAGGGCAUAGUAAGCACAACACCCUUACGCCAUUGCUCGGUGUCAUGUUGAACCACCUUUGGAUGACACGCGUCACUUUUGGGUCAAAAGAUAUUCCUCAUGAUAUUGAAGAUAGUUCUAUUCCUCAUGAUAUUGAAGAUAUUUCUAUUCCUCAUGAUAUUGAAGAUAUUUCUAUUCCUCAUGAUAUUGAAAAUAUU
Long non-coding RNA from Cyprinus carpio (common carp), 544 nucleotides. Lineage: Eukaryota; Metazoa; Chordata; Actinopteri; Cypriniformes; Cyprinidae. The record is from Ensembl.